GCAAACGCUUCCGAUGUGAGCCAUUUCGGAUACUUCCAGAGGUCCAGCGUCAAAGAAUUCACAGUUUUUGUCGGUCGGACCGUCGCCAAACGCACCUCUCCCGGCCAACGCCAGUCCGUCCAGCACGAAGAGUACAAGGUUCAUUCUUACAGCUGUAAUGGCCUUUGUGCGGUGGGGUUUAUGGAUGAUCACUAUCCUGUACGAAGUGCUUUUUCCCUUCUGAAUCAGGUGCUAGAUGAGUAUCAGAAGAAUUUUGGUGAUUCAUGGAGGACUG
RNAcentral lists this unclassified non-coding RNA (274 nucleotides) under Hevea brasiliensis (rubber tree). Lineage: Eukaryota; Viridiplantae; Streptophyta; Magnoliopsida; Malpighiales; Euphorbiaceae. The record is from RNAcentral.